Molecule: small RNA, 76 nt
Filed under: Marinomonas sp. S3726
Lineage: Bacteria; Pseudomonadati; Pseudomonadota; Gammaproteobacteria; Oceanospirillales; Oceanospirillaceae
Description: isrK
Source: RNAcentral
UCGCUGGAAAAAUCCAGCGAGGGGAUUCUUACCCUGUUUUACCAUAGCGACUUAAAACACGCACCGCGUGUUUUUU